UACGUAGGGUCCAAGCGUUUAUCCGGAAUCACUGGGCGUAAAGCGUGCGUAGGUGGCGUGUUAAGUGUGAUGUUAAAACGUGGGGCUCAACCCUGUCGGUGCAUCACAUACUGGCAUGCUAGAGGACGGCAGAGGCAAGUGGAAUUUGUAGUGUAGCAGUGAAAUGCGUAGAUAUUACAAGGAACACCAAUGGCGAAGGCAGCUUGCUGGGCCACUCCUGACACUGAGGUACGAAAGCGUGGGAAGCGAACAGG
RNAcentral lists this ribosomal RNA (254 nucleotides) under uncultured bacterium. RNAcentral describes it as "partial 16S ribosomal RNA". It matches the Rfam family "Bacterial small subunit ribosomal RNA", at positions 524 to 776 of the family's 1533-position model. The record is from RNAcentral.